UAUGUCUGCAAAUCGUGGGGAUGAAGAACCCAAGGUUCGAGUCGAACACAGAGAGACAACGUUGCCAGCGGCAACGGCCCGAAGGGCGAGGCCAAAGGCCGAGUCAUCCUGCACGACCCACCA
Non-coding RNA from Pragia fontium, 123 nucleotides. The record is from Rfam. NCBI's taxonomy places the organism in Bacteria, Pseudomonadati, Pseudomonadota, Gammaproteobacteria, Enterobacterales, Budviciaceae.